This is a non-coding RNA of Rattus norvegicus (Norway rat), 69 nucleotides long. The record is from Rfam. NCBI's taxonomy places the organism in Eukaryota, Metazoa, Chordata, Mammalia, Rodentia, Muridae.
GGGGGUUUAGCUCAGUGGUAGAGCGCUUGCCUAGCAAGCACAAGGCCCUGGGUUCGGUCCCCAGCUCCG